GAUGAACGCUAGCGGCAGGCCUAAUACAUGCAAGUCGAACGGGAUUGCGGUGUAGCUUGCUACACUGCAUGAGAGUGGCGCACGGGUGCGUAACGCGUGAGCAACCUGCCCAUAUCAGGGGGAUAGCCCGGAGAAAUCCGGAUUAACACCGCAUGUUACAGUAUUACCGCAUGGUAUAGCUGUUAAAUAUUUAUAGGACAUGGAUGGGCUCGCGUGACAUUAGCUAGUUGGUGGGGUAACGGCCCACCAAGGCGACGAUGUCUAGGGGCUCUGAGAGGAGAAUCCCCCACACUGGUACUGAGACACGGACCAGACUCCUACGGGAGGCAGCAGUAAGGAAUAUUGGUCAAUGGGCGGAAGCCUGAACCAGCCAUGCCGCGUGCAGGACGACUGCCCUAUGGGUUGUAAACUGCUUUUGUACGGGAAUAACCCUCUCUACGAGUAGAGAGCUGAACGUACCGUAAGAAUAAGGAUCGGCUAACUCCGUGCCAGCCGCCGCAGUAA
This 504-nucleotide ribosomal RNA is filed under the name uncultured bacterium. RNAcentral's name for it is "partial 16S ribosomal RNA". It matches the Rfam family "Bacterial small subunit ribosomal RNA", at positions 28 to 523 of the family's 1533-position model. The record is from RNAcentral.